UACAGAGGUCUCAAGCGUUGUUCGGAUUCAUUGGGCGUAAAGGGUGCGUAGGUGGCGCCGUAAGUCAGGUGUGAAAUUUCGGAGCUUAACUCCGAAACUGCAUUUGAUACUGCGGUGCUUGAGGACUGGAGAGGAGACUGGAAUUUACGGUGUAGCAGUGAAAUGCGUAGAGAUCGUAAGGAAGACCAGUGGCGAAGGCGGGUCUCUGGACAGUUCCUGACACUGAUGCACGAAGGCCAGGGGAGCAAACGGG
RNAcentral lists this ribosomal RNA (253 nucleotides) under uncultured bacterium. RNAcentral's name for it is "partial 16S ribosomal RNA". It matches the Rfam family "Bacterial small subunit ribosomal RNA", at positions 524 to 776 of the family's 1533-position model. The record is from RNAcentral.